AUGACCAGGAUAUGGCCGGCCCACCUGAGCGAGUCGGCUUUGGUGUUUUCUCAUUACUCUGCGCGGGCCUCGGAGGAUUGGAAGAAAGCAAAUUCUGGGGACAACACGACGAAGGAGAAGAAGGAAACACAAAAUAGCAUCAGGGAGUCUCGCUCGUCGGCUCCAGCCCAGCAGAAAAAGGGAACUGAGGUAACCCCUCCAAAAAAGAAUAAUGUUCAGAAAAAGAGGAAGGGAGGUCCACAACAGAAUCAGGUCUAUAGACCAAUGGCAGCCCCUCUGACUAUUACACAGGGUCGGGGGGAGGAUGGUAAUGUGAAUAUGGAGGGGAUGGUCUUUUCAGCUGGUGGUACGGCUGAUGAUCACACAGAUGAGAACCGGGAGAGAGACCCCCAAAAGAACAAACCUACCCCACCUACGUUUGAAUCUUCGGCAGCGGCUGCGAAAAACUACAGUGCCUCUCACAUUGAUGUAAUUGUCAAGCAAGUUAAUAAAGCAUGGCGAUUUACUAGUUUUUAUGGGGAGCCACGGGUGCAUAACAGGCACCACAGCUGGCGUUUUCUGUGUACCUUGUAUGCCAUUCAACAUGAGGCAUGGAUUUGCAUGGGGGAUUUUAAUGAGACCCUAUAUGCUGAUGAGCACUUUGGAACAAAUGCCACACCGGAGGGCCAGAUGAGGGCAUUCCGUGAGGCAGUUGACGAUUGUUCGCUCCAAGAUUUGGGGUGGCGAGGGGUUCCUUUCACAUGGGAUAACAAGCAAGACGGUGCUGCAAAUGUCAAAGCAAGACUUGAUCGGGCUCUUGCGAAUGCAGCCUUUCUGAACUUGUUCGAGUAUACUAGUAUUGGCUCGGCGGAGCGCGGUCUAAAGGGAGUUAUUGACGCGCUCACCGAAGUUCAGAUUCAGCUGGGAUCAUGGGGUGCACGGGAGUCUGGAAACCUAUCGAAGAAACUACGUGAAGCACUCCGCCAAGAGGAGGUGUGGUUGAAACAACGGUCGAGAGUGACUUGGUUGAAAGAGGGGGACCGGAACACAGGAUAUUUCCAAGCUCAGGCCGCCCCUCGUAAGCGAAUUAAUAGGAUUUCCUCACUGGAAAAGGAAGACGGUCAAGUUUGCACCGAACCUCAUGAGGUGAAGGAAGAAAUUGCAAGCUUCUAUCAAUCCUUGUAUCAAUCGCAGGGGUACAGACCCAUGGAGGAACUGCUUGCUUGUGUGACUCCUCGAGUUUCAGAUGAUAUGAAUGAUCUACUUGAAAAAGAAUACUCAGCCGAGGAGGUCAAGAAAGCUCUUUUCGAUAUGGCACCGUCAAAGGCUCCGGGCAUUCAAGAAUUUACGGCCGGAUUUUACCAACGACACUGGGAUGUCUUGGGUAAUGAUAUCUCCCAUGCCGUGUUGGAUUUUUUAAAUGGGGGUGAACUACCAACGGGAUUAAAUGACACUACCAUCACCUUAAUUCCCAAGGUACGAAACCCGUAG
RNAcentral lists this ribosomal RNA (1470 nucleotides) under Triticum aestivum (bread wheat). RNAcentral's name for it is "partial small subunit ribosomal RNA". Lineage: Eukaryota; Viridiplantae; Streptophyta; Magnoliopsida; Poales; Poaceae. The record is from RNAcentral.